UGAAGGUGCAAGCGUUAUCCGGAAUUAUUGGGCGUAAAGCGUCAGCAAUCUGUUUUUUAAGUCGAGUAUAAAAUCUAUGGGCUCAACCCAUAGUCUGUGCUCGAUACUGGAAGACUUGAGGUCGGUAGAGGUUAUAGGAAUUCUCGGUGUAGUAGUGAAAUGCGUUAAUAUCGAGAAGAACGCCAUUAGCGAAGGCUUAUAACUGGGCCGCACCUGACGACCAGUGACGAAAGCGUGGGUAGCGAACGGGGGAUUAGAUACCCCGGUAGUCCACGCUGUAAACGAUGGAUACUAGGUUUUGGGAGUGUCGACCCCUCUCAGAACCGUAAGCAAACGCGUUAAGUAUCUCGCCUGGGAAGUACGGUCGCAAGACUA
Molecule: ribosomal RNA, 375 nt
Filed under: uncultured organism
Description: partial 16S ribosomal RNA
Rfam family: Bacterial small subunit ribosomal RNA
Source: RNAcentral